Long non-coding RNA from Cotesia glomerata, 671 nucleotides. RefSeq lists it as uncharacterized. The transcript has 2 exons. NCBI's taxonomy places the organism in Eukaryota, Metazoa, Arthropoda, Insecta, Hymenoptera, Braconidae. The record is from RefSeq and is a predicted model, not a curated record.
UUCCCCGCGCACACACACUUAGAAAAUUGUUCACUAACUUACCCGGCGCAGGCGUUGACCAAAAAAAAAAGUACUCCUGAGAGUCAAGUUAUUUAUCCGUUUCAGGUCAUUUUGAGUCGAUUCAGACGCUCCUUAUUUGAUGAUAAAAAAUUCCCCGCACACCCACACUUAGAAAAUUUUCUAUCAGCUGACCCAGCGCAGGCGUUGACCAAAAUAAAAAAGUACUCCUGAGAGUUAAGUUAUUUAUUCGUUUCAGGCCAUUUUGAGUCGAUCCAGACACUCCUCAUUUUAUGAUAAAAAAUUUCCUGCACACUUACACUUAGAAAUUUUACAUGAAUUCUAUGAUUUAUUUUAUUCUCUUGCAAUAGUGUGAAGUUGCUAUUUAAUUUUCCCGCGACAACGUUCAUGUGUUUCACGUUCGCUUUGUAAACACAAUAUGUCGGUUGUUUACAAACGUCAAACUGUGUUGUGAAAACUUUUUUACGAUAUUUUGGCUACAUAUGAAGAAUUUAUGCUUUACCUAUUUCGGCCGCCAGGCGGCGCCACAUAUUCUUUAAAAAGUGGGGGGCCCCCCUUAGAGAAUGGCCUUAAGUAUCUAAAAAUGCAUAACCGUGAAAAAAUUUUCUGAUUUGGUAUAAUCUGGUUAUAUAUCGCCAUACCACCAUCUGUGG